CUCUAGCCCAACCUACAUUGACCUGGAAUAACAAAGCUACUCAUUACAUUAAACUAAAGCAUUUACUAGUCUUAGUAUAGGCGAUAGAAAAGACACCAUUGGAGCGAUAGAGAUCACGUACCGUAAGGGAAAGAUGAAAUAGCAGUGAAAUACCCUAAGCUAAAAAUAGCAAAGAUCAACCCUUGUACCUUUUGCAUAAUGGUCUAGCAAGAAAAACCAAGCAAAAUGAAUUUAAGUUUGCCACCCCGAAACCCAAGCGAGCUACUUGCGAGCAGCUAUUAUUGAGCGAACCCGUCUCUGUUGCAAAAGAGUGGGAUGACUUGCUAGUAGAGGUGAAAAGCCAAUCGAGCUGGGUGAUAGCUGGUUGCCUGUGAAACGAAUCUAAGUUCACUCUUAAUUCUUCUCCAAGGAAACCUAACAGAACCCUAAUGAAGCGAAUUAAGGGCUAUUUAAAGGGGGUACAGCUCCUUUAAAAAAGAAUACAAUCUCUACGAGCGGAUAAAUAAUUUCUUCUACAACUUAAUGUGGGCCUUCAAGCAGCCAUCAACAAAGAGUGCGUUAAAGCUCUGAACUCUAAAAAUAUAAAAACCAUAUGACUCCCUCAUCAUUAACAGGCUAACCUAUGUUUCAAUAGGAGAAUUAAUGCUAGAAUGAGUAACCUGGGUCCUCCCUCUUCGACGCAAGCUUACAUCCACACAUUAUUAACAAAC
RNAcentral lists this ribosomal RNA (710 nucleotides) under Regulus calendula. Its description in RNAcentral is "partial 16S ribosomal RNA". It matches the Rfam family "Bacterial large subunit ribosomal RNA", at positions 169 to 2035 of the family's 2925-position model. Lineage: Eukaryota; Metazoa; Chordata; Aves; Passeriformes; Regulidae. The record is from RNAcentral.